UCAUCGUCAUUGCGACGACCAUAGCUAGGCUUCCUGUAACUCCCCUCUUCCUGUUCCUCAGACCUUCCAUAGCUAGGCUUCCUGUAACUCCCUUCCUCCUGAUCCUCAGAUCUUCCAUAGCUAGGCUUAAUGUAACUCUCCACCUGUUCCUCAGACCCUCCAUAACUUGGUUUCCUGUAACUACCUUCCUCCUGAUCCUCAGAUCUCCCAUAGCUAGGCUUCCUGUAACCUUCCUCUUGAUCCUCAGAUCUCCCAUAGCUAGGCUUCCUGUAACCUUCCUCUUGUUCCUCAGAUCUUCCAUAGCUAGGCUUCCUGUAGCCUUCCUCUUGAUCCUCAGAUCUUCCAUAGCUAGGCUUCCUGUAACUUCCUUCUUCCUGAUCCUCAGAUCUUCCAUAGCUAGGUUUCUUGUAACCUUCCUCUUGUUCCUCAGACCUUCCAUAGCUAGGCUUCCUGUAACCUUCUUCUUGUUCCUCAGACCUACCAUAGCUAGGCUUACGCUCAUACUCAGACUCUGAUCUGCCACCAUAUCCAGAUCCAAGACCCGAUUCAGGUCUCCUCCCAUACUCAACCUCAGUUCUUCCACCACCAGAUCCAUACUCCGAUUGAUUCUCCGUUCUACCACCAUAACUCUGCUCAGGUCUCCGACCAUACUCCGUCUCAGUUUCACCACCAUAUCCAGAUUCAGGCCUCCUACCAUACUCACUCUCCGUCUGACCACCAUAACCAGAUCCAGAUCCAUAACCAGGAUUCGGCCUCUCACCUUGAACAUGACCGCCACCACCUGAAUCGGGUCGAAAUGCGGGUCGUGGCUUGGGUCGAGAAUAGCUACUGUACUCUGUGUUGAG
Molecule: long non-coding RNA, 845 nt
Filed under: Capsella grandiflora
Lineage: Eukaryota; Viridiplantae; Streptophyta; Magnoliopsida; Brassicales; Brassicaceae
Description: long non-coding RNA (CGRA_LNC001548)
Source: RNAcentral